RNAcentral lists this transfer RNA (63 nucleotides) under Partenskyella glossopodia. The record is from RNAcentral. Lineage: Eukaryota; Cercozoa; Chlorarachniophyceae.
GACUUACGACGAGGAUGAAAGAUUAGUUUAUUUAAGUUAUAUGUUCCCUAAUCAAUGGAAUAC